UACGGAGGGUGCAAGCGUUAUCCGGAUUCACUGGGUUUAAAGGGUGCGUAGGCGGGCAGGUAAGUCAGUGGUGAAAUCCCCAAGCUUAACUUGGGAACUGCCAUUGAUACUAUCUGUCUUGAAUACCGUGGAGAUGAGCGGAAUAUGUCAUGUAGCGGUGAAAUGCUUAGAUAUGACAUAGAACACCAAUUGCGAAGGCAGCUUACUGGCCGAAUAUUGACACUGAGGCACGAAAGCGUGGGGAGCAAACAGG
RNAcentral lists this ribosomal RNA (253 nucleotides) under uncultured bacterium. RNAcentral describes it as "partial 16S ribosomal RNA". It matches the Rfam family "Bacterial small subunit ribosomal RNA", at positions 524 to 776 of the family's 1533-position model. The record is from RNAcentral.